UGCCCUUUACUCGGAGAUAGCCUUUCAAAAGAAAGAUUAAUACCCGAUAGCAUAAUGAUUCCGCAUGGUUUCAUUAUUAAAGGAUUCCGGUAAAGGAUGGGGAUGCGUUCCAUUAGGUUGUUGGUGAGGUAACGGCUCACCAAGACUUCCAUGGAUAGGGGUUCUGAGAGGAAGGUCCCCCACAUUGGAACUGACACACGGUCACAAACUCCUACAGGAGGCAGCAGUGAGGAAUAUUGGUCAAUGGGCGUUAUCCUGAACCAGCCAAGUAGCGUGAAGGAUGAAGGCUCUAUGGGUCGUAAACUUCUUUUAUAUAAAAAUAAAGUGCAGUAUGUAUACUGUUUUGUAUGUAUUAUAUGAAUAAAGAUCGGCUAACUCCGUGCCAGCAGCCGCGGUAAUACCGAGGAUCCGAGCGUUAUCCGGAUUUAUUGGGUUUAAAGGGAGCGUACGUGGACUGGUAAGUCAGUUGUGAAAGUUUGCGGCUCAACCGUAAAAUUGCAGUUGAUACUGUCAGUCUUGAAUACAGUAGAGGUGGGCGGAAUUCCUGGUGUAGCGGUGAAAUGCUUAGAUAUCACGAAGAACUCCGAUUGCGAAGGCAGCUCACUGGACUGCAACUGACACUGAUGCUCGAAAGUGUGGGUAUCAAACAGGAUUAGAUACCCUGGUAGUCCACACAGUAAACGAUGAAUACUCGCUGUAUGCGAUAUACAGUAAGCGGCCAAGCGAAAGCA
This 731-nucleotide ribosomal RNA is filed under the name uncultured Bacteroides sp. Its description in RNAcentral is "bacterial SSU rRNA". It matches the Rfam family "Bacterial small subunit ribosomal RNA", at positions 127 to 859 of the family's 1533-position model. The record is from RNAcentral. Lineage: Bacteria; Pseudomonadati; Bacteroidota; Bacteroidia; Bacteroidales; Bacteroidaceae.